UCUCUUUGGAGAUGUGAAGAGAGGGAAUCACAACUUUUUCCUGCGGGAAAAAAGUUGGCUUAUGUAGACAAGCAUUUACUUUUAUUUUGAGCUGUUGUUCUCCGCUCUGUAAAAUGAGGGUUGUAAGUUCCUAGGUGGCUGGUAGCCAACUUAGUACAUAGUGGGAUUGAAUGGAGAACAUGAUGUAAUACAUAUAUAUCUAUUUCUGUUUAAAACCGUGCCUUAUUUCAUAGUCCCCUUGGGAGAAGUUUCUCUUUGUGUCUGGAUCCAGUUAGGUUGUGUCACGUCUCUGGUGAGACGUGAAGAGAGGGUUUUGUAGAGAAAUGCUAAUUCUUAUGUAGGUGACCAAACUAUUGUUGAUAAAGGGCUACCACUCAGAGUUGAGCCUGUGGGGUCCCCUACAGGAUAGCUCCCGCAUUACACUAAUGGCCAAAACCAGCGCACACACACAUGAUCUCAGUUGUCUGUCCGUCAUCGUAGAAUCCUCUUCGGGCAUUCAACGUUCAGCUACAACGGAGAUCAUGUGUGUGUGCGCUGGUUUUGGCCAUUAGUGUAAUGCGGGAGCUAUCCUGUAGGGGACCCCACAGGCUCAACUCUGAGUUGUAGCCCCCCCUUAACAAUAGUUUGGUCACCUACAUAAGAAAUAGCAUUUCUCUACAAAACCCUCUCUUCACGUCUCACAAGAGACGUGACACAACCUAACUGGAUCCAGACACAAAGAGAAACUUCUCCCAAGGGGACUAUGAAAUAAGGCACGGUUUUAAACAGAAAUAGAUAUAUAUGUAUUACAUCAUGUUCUCCAUUCAAUCCCACUAUGUACUAAGUUGGCUACCAGCCACCUAGGAACUUACAACCCUCAUUUUACAGAGCGGAGAACAACAGCUCAAAAUAAAAGUAAAUGCUUGUCUACAUAAGCCAACUUUUUUCCCGCAGGAAAAAGUUGUGAUUCCCUCUCUUCACAUCUCCAAAGAGAUGUGACUUAAACUAGGCAAGUCAGGCGGAAUGAUCCACUUGCAUAACACAUACAUACAUCCCCAUAAGGCAACAGCAGAUAUAAUGUAAACCUAAAUAGGCACUCUCCUCCUCAUCCUUGAAUUCAAGUAGGUCUUUAUCCAGCAGAGGAAACAUCUGGGAGGGGGAGGAAGGGUCAAUGGCUCUAGAGAUAACCCU
RNAcentral lists this long non-coding RNA (1170 nucleotides) under Oncorhynchus kisutch (coho salmon). Its description in RNAcentral is "lncRNA (ENSOKIG00005044171.1)". The record is from RNAcentral. Lineage: Eukaryota; Metazoa; Chordata; Actinopteri; Salmoniformes; Salmonidae.